UUCGGCCUGGAUUCGGGCUCCUCGUGUUCCACCUGAAAGCGUUUAUGAGUGUGGAGGGGAGACUGGAGAUCUGGGCAAAGUGAACGCGGCGCCGGACUAGGUUCUGGGCCGGUCUCCGCCAAGCCGCGGCCCUCCCCUGCGAGGCCCGCUCAGAGCGGGGCUGGGAGUCAGGAGCUGGGAGGGGGAGGUGCGCCAGCCUCGUAUCUUCUGCAGGCAUCGCACUUAUCUUGGAGCCUCAGUUCUUCCUCUAACCGGGACUUAUCUCGCCAGUAGUCAGGGGUGAAUUUGUAAAACAAACCGUGAAACGCCCCCACCCUAGAGGGGCAGAGGCUGGUUCCAGUUCAGUCCAGCAGAAAUGAAUUCAUGAGGAAGAGGCCGGGAAUUUUCCCUCUCAUCUUAUCUGACCCAGCAUCAGGGAGACGCCAGCCUGAGCUGACCUGGGCCUCAGGUUCUCCUGACCACCCAGUACCUGUCUUUAUUCAACAUCCUCUUUCCAGAUUUUCCGUGGAGACAGCUGCCAUCGACAACACUUAGAGCCUCCAGAAAUGACCCUUGGUGCCGACUUGUCUGGAAGCCAUCAGGAAAUCGAAGCAAAGAGUAAAAUGAGAAGCAAGGGAAACAAAGCCGUGUUCCAAGGCUCUGAGCCCGAGGUCCACUCUCUCUUCGCUUAUGGUGACAUCUGCCAGGGUGACCAGGGUGUUCAAGACGGGUCAGCCCUAAGCUGAGACUGGACGCCAUCGGAAGGACUGAAAAAGAAUGGAAGUGGACAUUGUUUUUUCGCUCUGGGAUCCUGUGCGUGGAGAGGGGUGUUCUGCUCCCACGCUCGCACCCCUCGGGGCAUUUGGGGGACCCAACUUGCUCUCCUAGAGCCUUUUAACAGGACAGUACCAUUAAGGCUCCUGCGGGCAGAUUUUGAGGUUCGGGGCUCCGCUGCUCCCCUCGCCUCGGAAUCAUGGCUGAGCUUUUGCUCUGUUCACGCAUUCAUUCAUUCAUUCAUUCAUUCACCGUGAAGGGCUUCCCCCGAAUUUGGGGCCGUGGCCCCCGUCGGUUACUGCCUCAGAAUAAGACUUUUAAAAGACACAAGAUUACUAGUUAAAAGCAGUACGGAAAAAAAUAACAGUAUCAUCAACACAUGCUCCUUAUGAAUGUGAUAAAGGACACAGUGGCCUUACUAUUGUACUUCCGAAGGCAGGGUGGGCGGAACAACAUCGUGGGCAACUCAGUCACACACCCGUCUUCAAUAGGAGAAGGUCACAUUACUUGUGAUUCUGCUGGGGACUAAGUGACAGCCACUGCCAACCCUGCGGGUGUAUUACCUAUAUUCAAAAUGGAACGGAAGACUCAUUUCACUGCAACGAAAGUGUGAUUUUUCCCCCCAUGCAAGUUCACAGGUCACAACAUCCCUCCAGGGACUCCCGCACCCCUGUUGGUGUCCCUGGGGGGACCCCAGCGUAGGAAGCCGAAGUAUAGAGACAAUGAAUUGGUCUCUUGGUCUCAGUAGGGACAGAGAAAAGUUUUCAUCAGGAACAGGCAUCGUUUGGAAGGCUGACUCAAUCUGCUGACAGGGCAAGCCAGGGCAGAAGAAGUUACUAUCAAGAACGUGUUAAGGAAUAUUUCUCAGCGGGUCCAAGACCACCCCGCCCCGGAGGUCUGGCUUAAUGCGGUCUGAGCUCAGAGAGGGCUUCCUCGGACACAUCCGUGGGAAGAAGAAAGGAAGAAAUGCGGAGGUAAUGGCGGAAUGACAGAGAAAGAGCAGAAAGUCAAAUUCGCCCUCGGGCAUCAUUAACUCAGUCUUACAGCUAGGGAAACUGAGGCCCAGAGAGGAAAAGGCAAGGUCACAAAGAAAAAAAAAAUCCUAACGGCUAGAUGCCUUAGCUCAUCAUUGGCUCUUCCUCUUGGCCUGGCACCAAAUGGCAAGUCCCUUUGGCUCUCUGGGCCUCAAUUUGCUGUUCUACAAAAUGGGCUAAUCAUAUCAGCUUCUCGCAAUUGCUGAACAGGAAAGACAAGCUCCCUUCUGAGAAAGAAUUUACCCUAAUGCCUGGCACCGAGCUGGUGCCAAGUAAGUAGAUUUCCUCAUUCUUCCUUGGCAGCGUUUCAUCCAGAGUAGGGGUGAAGUGCCUGCUGAGUUUUGUGAGCUACGCUAGCACUCUCCAAAGUUUGCUGCUGUUGUUUUACUACAAUGGUUCCAACAGAACAAACAAGAGACCCUGGUAGAAUGCAUUCCCAUACACCCACCACCUGGCUCCGGGGAUUCUGUCGUUGGCCAGUCUCGGUACAUUUAUACCCAUGGUGGAUUGUUUAAAUGCAAAUGCAGACGCCAUAGCCUUGCAUUUGGAAAUACUUCAGCGCGUGACUCUGAAAAAUAAGAUGAAUUUGAGGAAGACACACAACCCCAACACUGUUAUCCUACGCUGCCCCCGCCCCUGCAAAAGCCAUGAUUGUGUAAAUCUUAUGAAAUAUCCAGUUAGGACUCAAUGUUCCCUGAUUGUCUCCCUUAUUUUUAUUAUUUCAUUACACUUGGUUUAAUGAAACCAAGUCAGGACGCAGCCCAGGGGUCCACACUGUGUUUAAUUCAUCCCCCCCUUUUUUCUUUCUGAAAACACUUAGAACGGAAAUAAGGGAAUCAUCCUGACUCUCACCAUUUGCAUUCCUGUGGUGCCAUUUUUGAC
This is a long non-coding RNA of Artibeus jamaicensis (Jamaican fruit-eating bat), 2669 nucleotides long. RefSeq lists it as uncharacterized. The transcript is spliced from 5 exons. NCBI's taxonomy places the organism in Eukaryota, Metazoa, Chordata, Mammalia, Chiroptera, Phyllostomidae. The record is from RefSeq and is a predicted model, not a curated record.